Pipistrellus kuhlii (Kuhl's pipistrelle) is the source of this 304-nucleotide long non-coding RNA. RefSeq lists it as uncharacterized. Lineage: Eukaryota; Metazoa; Chordata; Mammalia; Chiroptera; Vespertilionidae. The transcript has 3 exons. The record is from RefSeq and is a predicted model, not a curated record.
GACAAUGCUCUUCUUUUGGUGGGAUCCAGAAGGUGUGGUGUAUUAUGAGCUUCUAAAACCAGGAGAAACAGUUAAUACUGAUCACUACUGACAACAAAUAAUCAAUUUGAACCAGCCAUGAUGGUAAAACUACCAGAAUGAUUCAGAAGGCAAGGCAGAGUAAUUUUGCUUUAUGAUAACGCACCACCACACACUUCAAAACCAGUUAAAGACACGUUAAAAGAUCUUGUCUGGGAAGUAUUAACCCACCCGCUGUAUUCAACAGACCUCGUUCCUUCAGAUUACCAAUUGAUGGCACAUGCAC